CUCCGCGCGCUGUAUACUUUGACGUGUUGAGGAACGAAUGAAAGAGCGGCGGCAGAUUCAAGGUGAUGAUACUGUAAGAUGUAUCGAAAGUUGUUUUCCUUCUUAAUCCAAGGGUAAUUUUGAACCUGAUGAUGCCCACUCUUAUGAACCGCUGUGGAGCCCCUGCUACCAGGACCAAUCACACCGACACAUGGCCCCGAUGACUAGACUGCGGCAGCUCCAGACAUCAGAUCAGGGGCCUUUUUCAUAAAGAGUUACAAGUAACAUCGCCAUUAUGGCAACUACCGUGACGACAAGACUCAACAGCCAGAUAUAAUAAAGAUUUCCAUGGAAGUUACAAUAAUGGCAAUGUUAAGAUAGUUGUAAGUCUUUAAGAAACGGACCCCGGAUCGUCAGCUCAGCUCACCUGCAAAGCUCGGACGUGUAGCAACCAGACCGAUCGGAACAAGUCGAGGGAUCAGAAGUGGUGGUGUAACAGCGAGGAUGUUGCAGAGAAUGUCUUCAGGAUGUUGUGAAGAAAUUUCAGCGUCAGAGAAUGCAAGCAGAGACUGGGAUUUCUUUCCGUGAGAGCAAAACCGUAACAGGUUCAUCUGGCAGAAGUGGUUCAACAGGGAGCACUGAAUAUGGAGCUAGAUUAAAAAGAAGUCUUUGUUAAAGGUGGAGGAUAAACUCAACAAAGUCGGGUCAGACGUCAAGAUAAUUCCUAGAAAUUAGACAUCAGAACCAGUGCUUUAGCCAUCAUAACAAGGGAGAGAAUGCAGGCUAGAAGAGGGACGAAGGGAUGCUGACCUCCUUGUCAUCUUGCCAAACAUAAAGGACCUAUCAACUUUUCAACAGAGGCUAAGGAGAACAUUAAGGCUGUUUUACCAUCCGUUGAACUCAUGUCAAACAUGGAAUCACCAGCUAUCUGGUGUCAACCAUCUUCCAAGCGAAAAUCAGAAAGAGAGAGGGUCUACCAGAGACAAGGACAUGCCACCAAUCUUCAAGUCUUCAUCUACCAGGGAUGUCUGAUGUAACUGGUCUUUGCCUGAAGUAUGAUCAACAUAAGAACGGAUUUGGCACCAAACUCUUCCAUAUACAACCUCCAUCUUGUGUUACUAAUUUUCCUCAUAUUUCAUGAUGGAGAAAGUUUACAGGGAUUGCUCUCGACACCAGUCAUUAUCUACACUCUAUGUCUGGUGUUAACCUUAGCCCUAUUAUAACUGGGCCUGUUCAGAUCAAUUUUUUACUAGUAUACAGUGUAGAUGAUGUUUGAUGUUAUGUGUUCGGCUAUGUGGAAUAUGUACUCCAAUGACUGUCUAGAAUAUGCUCAAGCCUUAAUAAGGGGGGGUAAAUCUGACUUUAUGAUGACUUUUAUGUAGCUCCACGGAGCAGGUCCAAGCUAUUGUUUCUUUGCUGAUAGUUGUAGUAGUUGAAAUAAUUAACAACUUUAUCUUGAUGAAGUUUGUAUUUGUUAAAAUUGUGCUGACUUUUCUGCAAAAGUGGAUCCAAAGGUUUUCCAGAGUUUUUCCCUUAUGAGUUUUAUCUUUGGUUUUUUACCCUGGAUCUACUUGUCGUAGAACUAGUCAGGGGGGGGGGAGGGGUAAAGAGGAUGGGGGUGGGGUGUUUUAGGGUAAAUAAGUCAAAAAUGCAAAUGGAUUUGCAACGACAUCUCCCAAGUAUUAAAUCUUGCUCAUCUUUUAAUAAUGAAUUUUGUAUGCCUGGAUAUGUGGGUCCAAAGUUUGUUUUUUACAUUUUGUAUUAAGGCAUGCAAGAUGCAAAAUUGGUCAAAAGCAUGAUUUUUGUAUGUACAAAUCAAUUGCAAAUCCUGUUUCUUGUCAAAAUCUAUCAAUGUAAAUCAACUAAUUUCAUGCGGAAAAAAACCUCAAAACAAGUCGAAAAACAAAGGUCCAUGGUCACAGAGAUACACAAAUGUACAUAUAUACAUUCAAAUAUCUCAUUCUCGAGAUAAUUGAAAAACUGUAUUCGAGAUCGACUGCGAAUUCAGUUGAUAAUUUACCUUUAUUGGAAAGGCAAUGAUCUUCCUAUAUUUUGGGGUCUGGAGGUCAACGUUCAUAGAGGUCACGGUAUACCUUAAAGUAUCUUUUUUUCUUUUUUUCUAUCUUUUUCCGACGAAGAUUCUGCUAGGAUCGAAAGCUUAGGCCCCUUUUUGACUUUCUAGUAUCUUUUUCUCGCGAUAAACCUUUUUAAGGAUUCAACUUUAAACUUUACUCAAGUACAUGUAUGCAUACAUGUAUGGAAGUGACAAUGAUCUGAAUAGAUAUUAGGGUCAUGAGGUUCAAAGGUCACAUGGUUCAUUAUAAACAGUAAUAUCUUGUUCUUGCAAUAACUAUAAUUGUUGGGGUCUUGAGAACAAAGAACAGAGGUCAUUUUAUACAUUGUUCUUGCUUUCCAGCGAACUGUUUGAGAGAAAGUUGCCAAUCAAAGACUCAUGUAUGUAUCUAUGAGAGGAUGAUCUUUAUCAGAUUUUAGGGUCAUAAGGUCAGGGGUCAAAGGUUACAGAUGUUAUUAAUUCAAAAUAUUAAAAUUUAUACGUAUACUACAUCUGGCAAUAGCAGAGACAUAAAUUUUACUGUCUGCAGUCGAGAAUCCCUUCUGUUUCUGUCAAAUUUUGCAUAGUCCCACUAAUAUACAUUCACAAUGUAUGGUUCCAGUUCAGGGUUUUUCCCCCCUUAUUAUAUCAGAUAAUUUUGAAUUAAUGCAAAGGUUAUGAAACUAGCAAAGCAAGUCUGGGAAGUGUUUUACAAAUAGUUAAAAGUGACUACAAGUCAUGCUUACACAAGUGAUUAUUAAUACGCAAAUGAUAAUUUGCACUGCAGUCUCAUUAAUACAUGUAUGUAGUACAGCAUAUCCUCUGAUUCUGAUCCAAUCGAUAUGAUGAUCUGUUAUUUUCCACAUACAAUUUGAUUUGUCUCUUAUGUCACAUGUUCUAGGGACAGUGAUAUUCUGUUUACCGGUUAUUCAAAACCCUAAAUCUGUUGUGGUUCUUUGUUUUUCAUGGUAAAAUUUCAUUGAAUUUACUUUUGAAAAAUGGAAUUAAUGUAUUUGCUGUGUACAUUUCUAUAACAAAAUUGAAUUUCCAUUUUAGAUCAAGUAUGUUAAACAGAGUUACAGGUUUCCAGAAACAGAAAAUGCAAUUUUUUAAAAAAUUGAAAAUCACUGUCCCUAAUGUCAUGUCAGAUAGCUUGGACCUGCCCUCACAUAUGUAAUGUACGAUUGUCUGUACUAUAUACUUGCUUUGUAUUCACAAUCUCAUUUUUCUCUCUUGAAAAUAAAAUGUAAGACCGGCAGCCAAGGAGAUUCGUUCAAGUGGGAGGACCAGAGCAGUUGACCUCAUUGAUUGAUGGUGGUAGGCCCUGAACCUCACAAACAUGGCUUCCGGUCUGGUUUGAGCUGUGAUCUUCCUGACAGAAUCACACAAUAUGUGACAUCACUACCAAGAGAUCUAUUUUUCAGUGUACAGAGAGGGGCACUGGACACCGUUGUGCAUGGUAUACAACCUCUGUAAUGUAAGUGCUUUAUUUCUGAUUUCUAUGAUGUUUUGUGUAGCCUAGAGUAUGUGGGACAAUGCAAUCGGUUUUUUUCCAGCAAUUAGUACUGAGGGCACUAAUUGGUUUGGGAAAAUUAGGCAGCAAUUUUACCCAUUUGGGGCUUUUUAUCCACUUUUUGCCACUAUUGCAUUUUUUUAAAUUCAUAACAUUUUGUUUAAUCUUUGGAAUGAUAUCCUUUUCAUGAAAAUCUAUCAAAACAUUAACAUUCCCAAAUGAAAUUUUGAAAAAUUUGUAGGGAUUUCAAAAAACUCUUCUACAAUACAAUACUUGCAUUGUCUGUUGAUCCAUUGAUGGUCGUCUUUCUUUAUAUACCUUUCUGUACUAUCUGCUGUAGCUGCUGCUCUAAAUUCAUCUUUGUUUCACACUGUUGCAACAGUUUAUCUGCCAUGACUGAUAUGAUAAUGUGCUAGUAAGACAAAAACAAUAAUUUAAAAGGAAAUUUGAAUAUAUUUACAGACUUUGAUCUCAUUUAAAAUAAUUAAUUGCAGAGCCAUGAUAGAGCAGUGAGAAUAUUUUGCAAUAAAUAUAUUCCUUAUUUCUGUACAUAUUAAUUUUUCGGACAGACUAAUUUGAGUUACUUUUUAAAAAGUGUUUGGUCCUAUUCCCUUUUCACCAUGAACCUAAAUGUUUGGGAAAAUGCCUAGUGUGUAUCCAUCAUGUAAACACAUAAUGCGAGAGAUUUAGCCAGACCUGUGUUGGAUGACAAUGAUAUUGUGAUGAAGGUGGCUUUUCAAUAUCGGUUAGUCUGCCAAAAACUAUUAAAAAAAACACCUUUUAUCCUCAACUCUGGAUAAAAAGUUUAACCCAUAUUUAUGAGGAUUGUGUGCUUCAAUGUUUUUUCCACAAUGUGUAAAGACAAAAAUAUUCCUUCAAACACUGCAAUACAAGUUAGCAUGGAAUCUAGUUGUAGAAGUGCAAUGUCAAAUUUGAUUUCCAUAUUUUCAGCAAGUGCUAUUUGCUUGUCCACUGUGGUGUCUCUAGUUGACUCUUAUUGAUGUUUUGUAUUGGACCUUUUGCAUGUUUGUUAAAUUGUUUGACGGAGCAGUUUAGCCUAGACGGCUUUGGGGCUUGGUGGCAGUGAUCAAGGUCGAUCAAGAACCGGUUUGCACUCCAAAGGAGAGAAGAGAUGAACUGUUGAUGUAUGUUUGAAGAGAGCGCUGCUUACUUCUGGAGUAAUGUUUCAAUUGCAUGCGACAUUUUUGCAUUUGGUGUUUGAAAAUCUGGCAAUGUUGUGAUAAUCCUCAAGUAAUCUCUGACGAAGAGGGAUGGUGUUCUUUUCAACCUAGAUGUUGGUAUCCAGUGGUCUUCACUACAUCAUGCAAGUUAGACAUUUUAAAUGGUGAUUUCUUAUGAGGGGUCUGUGCCUUUGUUUUACUAAUACAUGAUGCCUUACAAGGUGGUCCAAAUGAUAAUAAUCAUGGUAUCAUUUGGUAGACAUUACUGCACUCUGAUCUGCAUGUCUCUUGCUAUCUAAGCUUAUUACCAUCUGGAAUUCAUCCACGUUUCAGUCUGUGGGUGGGGCAGUGAUCCCCCAAGAUUGUCAAUCUUCUGAAUUCUCCAUUUUCCAUUCUUUCCAUGUUUAUUCAGUCAUUGCAUUGCCUGGUAGAUUUUCCUCUGUACAUUAUUUCCUGUGUGAAUGAGAAUUGCAUUUAGGGUUGCUGUAUUUGGGAAGGCAUUUGAUGGGACUUGGCCUAUCUGAUUUGGAUGAUCAGGUUGUCUAAAAUUUACGUUAUCUCCUGUGUUUUGAAAACUUUAUUCGGUCCAAACCAGAGUUCCUAUUUGGACAUACCUGAAAAAUUGGUCAGGCUUUACCUACUGUGGUCAUAAAGGAUUGUGGCAUGGCCUAUGGGAAGGAGCCAGGGUAGGACGACUCUUCGAGACCCGAGAGUUCUGACCAUGGUGAUCAAUGCAAGAUGCUCCUAAUUCCUUGAAGAGCCUCAUCAGCAUCCAUACUCGGUGCCAUCGCCCUCAAGGCCUGGGGUCAGAGCUAAUGAUUCUUCAAGACUUUACCAUGGUAUGGUAUUCAGUUAAAGAGUUUUGUUGUACCUUGAAGAGCCUCAGCAGGAUUUUCACAUGGAUCUGUUAUUGUGGCAGGGACGAAGGGGCACUUCUAGCCAGUACGUAUGUUUGAAGAUAAGGGUUGUAUUGAUUAGAGGACUUCUUCUAGUAGAUUGUUUCAACGGUUUCCAACAUCCAGUCUGGAAUGACUUUAGGAAUUUCUAUUUGUUGCCGUCUGUGAAAUUUGACAUUCUCUCUCGAUGAUUGUUAGAGUUGUCAUUGACCUUUUGCCUAAAGCAUGGAUUCCUUCAUUUAGCCUGGAACGAGCUGUGGAAAUAUUUAUUUGGUGCUUCUUCUGAAAUUCCAAUAAUUUUCUUCUGGCUGAAGAAAUCCAUUCUGGAAGGAGUUUUGUGAAUUUUAUUGGGUGUCGUCUCAGAAAUUUGAUAUUGCACUUCACUUCUAGGGAACAUGCAUUGUAUUGUGGUGAUUGGUGGCGCAUUGUGGGAAAUUAAGUGCACUGCACUUCCUCUGGACAAGCCUAUCUUGAGGGUUCGACCUGUUAGAUCUAGAUUCGCAUAUAUCUUGUCAUUCUGAAUGCAAUAGCUUUUUCUCUCAAAAUUGUGUGGAAAGAAGUGAUGGAUGCAUACGCAAAACAAAAAAAUUUGGUUCCUUUAUGAUGGUGAUUAAAACGAACCCCCUCCCCAAAAAACGAAAAAUAGAAGAAAGCAUAUUUCUUCGUAUUAACCAAAAAUGCAGUGUUCAUUGAAGUUCACUGAAACACAAUUGUACAUGUACAAAAAAAGGUGCAUUUAUUUGCAAAUAUUUCCCAUCUGCUCAGGCUACUGCUCCCCCCCCCAAAAAAAAAAGGAAGAAAAACAACAAAAGAGAAAGAAAAAAUGGUGCGAAAUAUACAAUGAUGAUUAAAUGAUCCAUUAUAUUAUUUAUUAAAAUGAAAAAUAUGACAAUUAUUAUACUGUAUGAUUAAAUUUAGGACAUUUUAAUAUCAGUCAUGCUUUUAAAUGUUGAAAUGGUGUAAAAUGAAGGAAGAUUGGCAGAAUUGGGGAGCAUUUCAUAAGCGGAUUUGUCGGUGAUUAUCAAAGACUAAUUUGCUAUUGACCAAUCAGAUGCAGUAAUUUACAAUAGCUCAGAACAUCUGUUGGUGAAAAUCACUGACAAAUCUUCAUGAAAUGCCCCCCCCCCAAGAUGGAUAGUACAGGGAGCGAGACCACAUUUAGUGGAUUAACUGGUAAACCUGUAGAAGGAAGAGGGGAUAGAGGGGAAGGGGAGAAGGGUGAACAAAGAUUAAUAGACUGAAGGGGAGGGGCUGGAAAAUCAAUGCAUUGUCUCGCAUACACUUGGCUGCACAAAGCAUCAUUGAAGUUGAAAAUAAAGCACCUGCAUUACAGAAGCGGUACGUCAUGCAUGGUAGUGUCCAGCGCCCCGCCCUGUACACUUAAAAAAAGACAAUGGGUAGUGAUGUCAUGUAUUGUGUGAUUUUGUCUCGGAGACCUCAGCUCAGAUCAGACUGGCGGCCAUUUUGUGAGGGUUAGGGGUUUGCCACAUCAUAUCAAGGUCAUUUGCUCUGGUAACCUCUUUACUUGAAUGAAUCUUCUUGGCUGCCGGUCAUUUUUUUUUAAUCAAUUUUUUUUAUAACUAUGUAUUUUCAGACAAAUAAAUUCCUUGUAAAAUGAAAA
This is a long non-coding RNA of Lytechinus pictus (painted urchin), 7243 nucleotides long. RefSeq lists it as uncharacterized. The record is from RefSeq and is a predicted model, not a curated record. The transcript has 6 exons. Lineage: Eukaryota; Metazoa; Echinodermata; Echinoidea; Temnopleuroida; Toxopneustidae.